UGUGGCGGCAGCUACACAUGCAGUCGACGGUAGCACAGAGAGCUUGCUCUCGGGUGACGAGUGGCGGACGGGUGAGUAAUGUCUGGGAAACUGCCUGAUGGAGGGGGAUAACUACUGGAAACGGUAGCUAAUACCGCAUAACGUCGCAAGACCAAAGUGGGGGACCUUCGGGCCUCAUGCCAUCAGAUGUGCCCAGAUGGGAUUAGCUAGUAGGUGGGGUAAAGGCUCACCUAGGCGACGAUCCCUAGCUGGUCUGAGAGGAUGACCAGCCACACUGGAACUGAGACACGGUCCAGACUCCUACGGGAGGCAGCAGUGGGGAAUAUUGCACAAUGGGCGCAAGCCUGAUGCAGCCAUGCCGCGUGUAUGAAGAAGGCCUUCGGGUUGUAAAGUACUUUCAGCGGGGAGGAAGGCGUUAAGGUUAAUAACCUUGGCGAUUGACGUUACCCGCAGAAGAAGCACCGGCUAACUCCGUGCCAGCAGCCGCGGUAAUACGGAGGGUGCAAGCGUUAAUCGGAAUUACUGGGCGUAAAGCGCACGCAGGCGGUCUGUUAAGUCAGAUGU
This 564-nucleotide ribosomal RNA is filed under the name Klebsiella sp. gx-14. Its description in RNAcentral is "bacterial SSU rRNA". It matches the Rfam family "Bacterial small subunit ribosomal RNA", at positions 38 to 595 of the family's 1533-position model. Lineage: Bacteria; Pseudomonadati; Pseudomonadota; Gammaproteobacteria; Enterobacterales; Enterobacteriaceae. The record is from RNAcentral.